GUUAUUUAAAAAAAAAAACAGAAAAGGAAAGAAAAAAAAAUUGAUGUCUCGAUGUUUCUUGAUCAUACAAAGAUUUCCAUGGCGAAACUACAAAUCAAAGCUAUAGAACUCAUGAGAUUAACGGCCACAUAAUCCUUGCGGUGGUAAAGAUUGAAACCACUGCUUGAAGAGGUGACAAUCGAGGGUAGCAAAUCAAAGAACUACCGAUGUUUUAUGAUUAGCUUCUAAAGUCAAACCAACGCUUGGAAACUCGGUAGAUCCACCGAGGACUUCACCUUUUCCGAUCUCCUUAGAUGAUUUUUUUCUAACUUUUCCUUUUAGCAGAGAUAAAGAUCUUAAAAAAAUAAUUCUUGCUUGUUUUGAAUGUCGGAUCUUAAGCCAUCCGUGAUAAGAGCUGGCAAGUUUGAGAUGGUUGUCGACUUCACCUUCUCAGAUCUCUUUGACAAAGUCAUAAGGAGAUUUGAAAGACCACAAAACGCUUCGAUAAAUUUGGAUAAAGACAAAUAUGUUGGAAGUGAACAUUUACCAAAUACAAAAGGAAGAUCAUGCUAAUACCAAAAAUUAGUUAUGGAGAGCCGUGGAAGAAGGAUUUUGGACCUGUCUUGGCUUAUCUCAACUCUGUCAAAGAGGUAAUUUACAUUAUUGAAGACAUUUUAGGUUUUUGUUUGAUAUUGUAGCUGUGAGUAGAUGUGAGAAACUCAGAAAAGUUAGGCACGUUAUGGGUGUAUAUAUAGUAUUAGGUUAGGCGAUAGUUUUUUAAGUGUCGCUUAGAAAAUUCUCUAGCAUAUUCGGAUUCAGUUUAGGAAAUCCCUAGAGUAGUGAUCAAGCAAAAAAGAUUUAGAGAUUUAUUGUUAGCUUAGAUUUACAUAUAAAUAUAAUAUUUACAAUUCAGUU
Long non-coding RNA from Brassica rapa (field mustard), 894 nucleotides. RefSeq lists it as uncharacterized. NCBI's taxonomy places the organism in Eukaryota, Viridiplantae, Streptophyta, Magnoliopsida, Brassicales, Brassicaceae. The record is from RefSeq and is a predicted model, not a curated record.